CUGACCAAAAUGCAGGGAGAACUGAUUCUUUUUAUUAGAUUAUUGUAACAAACCAGGUCCUACUACCAUAGAAGUUUCAGUAACUGUUAAGUAAAACACUCAGUUUUUGUAGAAGUCUUAAGUUCAUCUAAUCUAAUGAAUGGAUUGUUAAUCAAACUUUUGAAGAGGUACCAUUUCAACCUUAAACUUUUAAUGAUUAUUUUAUUAAUUCAUUAACUUCAAAAAUCCAUAUUACCUUUCAAAUAGUUUUAUAAUUAACGCAGGCAAAUGCCCAAGAAAAUACACUAAUCUUAUUCAACAUCUUCAAAUCUUCAAAUGUUGUCCUGAGAUCUAAGAGUAGGACAUUCAAACCAUAGAUCCUAAAAUUAUCAGAUCAGUUCUUUGAUGCUGGAACAUGUUGACCUUAAGAGACAUUGUAGUGAAUUGAGAGUAGGGGGAGAAAAUGUUUGGUGAAAUAUCAAGACUAGACACAUAGGAGCAAAUUACAGAAAGGAAGAAGUAUUAAGGAUGAGGAAGAGCUGAGCCCCAGCCUAUCUUAGGAUGUCAACCAAGAAGAGCUUUGGAACAUGACCUCAUUGCAUCCUGGAGUUGUUAGAGCAACUGGGCCAAGGAUGGUGAGCCCCAGGCAUGGUAAGUUCUGCUUAUCGUUCUAAGAAA
RNAcentral lists this long non-coding RNA (657 nucleotides) under Marmota monax (woodchuck). The record is from RNAcentral. Lineage: Eukaryota; Metazoa; Chordata; Mammalia; Rodentia; Sciuridae.